GAUGAACGCUGGCGGCGUGCUUAACACAUGCAAGUCGAGCGGUAAGGCCCUUUCGGGGGUACACGAGCGGCGAACGGGUGAGUAACACGUGGGUGACCUGCCCUCAGCUCUGGGAUAAGCCUGGGAAACCGGGUCUAAUACCGGAUAUGACUCCAUGACGCAUGUUGUGGGGUGGAAAGCCUUGUGCGGCUGAGGAUGGGCCCGCGGCCUAUCAGCUUGUUGGUGGGGGAUGGCCUACCAAGGCGACGACGGGUAGCCGGCCUGAGAGGGCGACCGGCCACACUGGGACUGAGACACGGCCCAGACUCCUACGGGAGGCAGCAGUGGGGAAUCUUGCGCAAUGGGCGAAAGCCUGACGCAGCGACGCCGCGUGAGGGAUGACGGCCUGGUGUAAC
Molecule: ribosomal RNA, 395 nt
Filed under: uncultured bacterium
Lineage: Bacteria
Description: bacterial SSU rRNA
Rfam family: Bacterial small subunit ribosomal RNA
Source: RNAcentral